This 393-nucleotide ribosomal RNA is filed under the name Triticum aestivum (bread wheat). RNAcentral describes it as "partial small subunit ribosomal RNA". Lineage: Eukaryota; Viridiplantae; Streptophyta; Magnoliopsida; Poales; Poaceae. The record is from RNAcentral.
AUGGAAACAGGAAACGGAGAGCAAGUCCACACCCUCACUCCCGUUGCCACCUCCUCUUCCACCGGCACCGCAGCCUCUACCCCUACUACCGUUGCUCAUGCCUCCACCGUAGUCUCCCCCGCCCUGGCCAAAAGCGGAAGAACUCGCGGCCGACACCCGACGGGGGUGGUCAUGGGUGUGUACAGCACGACGUAUGGAUUUGCGGCGGUGGCCACGAGGACGGCCGUAGCGAGUAUAGGAGCCACCGCAACAUCGCUGCACGGAGUCCUGCCGCGUGUGGCCUUCGCGCGCACUCCUCACAGGCUGUCGUUGAUGGCUCCACGUGGAGGGGAGAUGGAGAGCGAUGACGGUUGCUCGCUUCCGGAGAUCGUUGGCGUCGGUGGGGUCCGCUAG